UAGAGUUUGAUCCUGGCUCAGGACGAACGCUGGCGGUGCGCCUAAUGCAUGCAAGUCGAACGAACUAAGUCCCAGCUUGCUGGGGCAAAAGUUAGUGGCGGACGGCUGAGUAACACGUAAGUGAUCUGCCCCGAAGCGGGGGAUAAUCCGGAGAAAUCCGGUCUAAUACCCCGUAAGUUCCUUGGGUUACGGCCCUUGGAGGAAAGGCUUCGGCCGCUUUGGGAGGAGCUUGCGGCCUAUCAGGUAGUUGGUGGGGUAAAAGCCUACCAAGCCGAAGACGGGUAGCCGAUGUGAGAGCAUGAUCGGUCAGAGGGGGACUGAGACACGGCCCCCACUCCUACGGGAGGCAGCAGCAGGGAAUCUUGCGCAAUGGGCGAAAGCCUGACGCAGCGACACCGCGUGGGGGAAGAAGGCCCUAGGGUUGUAAACCCCUUUUCUCGGGGAAGAGAACGGACGGUACCCGAGGAAUAAGGAUCGGCUAACUACGUGCCAGCAGCCGCGGUAACACGUAGGAUCCGAGCGUUGUCCGGAUUUACUGGGCGUAAAGGGCGCGUAGGCGGCAUGUUAAGUCUCAUGUGAAAUCUCCCGGCUCAACUGGGAGGGGUCAUGGGAAACUAACAAGCUUGAGGGCAGUAGAGGAAAGCGGAAUUCCCGGAGUAGUGGUGAAAUGCGUAGAUACCGGGAGGAACACCAGAGGCGAAAGCGGCUUUCUGGACUGUCCCUGACGCUGAGGCGCGAAAGCAUGGGGAGCAAACCGGAUUAGAUACCCGGGUAGUCCAUGCCCUAAACGAUGGAUACUAGGUAUUGGGGGUAUCGACCCCUCCUGUGCCGAAGCUAACGCAUUAAGUAUCCCGCCUGAGGAGUACGGCCGCAAGGCUAAAACUCAAAGGAAUUGACGGGGGCCCGCACAAGCAGCGGAGCGUGUUGUUUAAUUCGAUGAUAAGCGAAGAACCUUACCAGGGCUUGACAUGUUUCUGAUCGCUUACGAAAGUAGGUCUUCCCUUCGGGGACAGUUUCACAGAUGUUGCAUGGCUGUCGUCAGCUCGUGCCGUGAGGUGUUGGGUUAAGUCCCGCAACGAGCGCAACCCUUGUCGUUAGUUACUAUGUCUAGCGAGACAGCUCCUAAAACGGGAGAGGAAGGUGGGGACGACGUCAAGUCAGCACGGCUCUUACGUCCUGGGCCACAAACACGCUACAAUGGUCGGUACAGAGGGUCGCGAAGGCGCGAGCCGGAGCUAAUCCCAAAAAGCCGGCCCCAGUUGGAAUUGCAGGCUGAAACCCGCCUGCAUGAACUCGGAGUUGCUAGUAACCGCAGGUCAGCACACUGCGGUGAAUACGUUCCCGGGCCUUGUACACACCGCCCGUCACGUCAUGGAAGUCGGUAACACUUGAAGUCGCUGAGCUAACCCUUAGGGAGGCAGGUGCCGAGGGUGGGACUGGUGACUGGGACGAAGUCGUAACAAGGUAACC
This 1470-nucleotide ribosomal RNA is filed under the name uncultured bacterium. Its description in RNAcentral is "bacterial SSU rRNA". It matches the Rfam family "Bacterial small subunit ribosomal RNA". The record is from RNAcentral.